Columba livia (rock pigeon) is the source of this 845-nucleotide RNA transcript. RefSeq lists it as uncharacterized. The transcript has 3 exons. Lineage: Eukaryota; Metazoa; Chordata; Aves; Columbiformes; Columbidae. The record is from RefSeq and is a predicted model, not a curated record.
ACAAGGUGCUAAGCAGCUCUGUGAGGAGUAGUGACAAAUUCUGAUGCUCUCAGAGACCAUACUGAGUUGCUCUUGUGUUGGGACCUUGAUUGUUUUUUAUUUUGAGUGGCUGAAUUAUUGCUCACCCAGAAGACUUCUAGCUCUGGACUAUCCCAAGUUGAUGAUUGAAGGAGCUGCGUAGGUUCUUACCAGGGAUUGGUGUUGGGAUGUCUGAACAUGGGAAGAAAACCACAGACCUCCUUCUUGUACCAAGGAAAACUGAAUCAGCCAGGGCUGGUCUGCAAUUCCCUGUGGGUUUUGUCUACAGGCUCCUUAAAAGAGGCAACUACACUGACAGGAUCAGUCAUGGUGCUGCCAUCUACCUGGCUGCUGUGCUGGAGUAUCUGAUCACAGAGAUCAUGGAGCUGGCAGUGAUCGCUGCACGGGAAAGCAAGAAAGCCAGGAUCACACCCAGGAACAUCCAGCUGGCUGUGAGAAAUGAUGAUGAGCUGCAUGAGGUCUUCUCCCGUGUGACCAUUGCUGAAGGAGAGGUGUUACCUAAUGUUCUUCCAGAACUUCUUCCUAGGAAGACCACAUCACUUAAACGACCCCACAGAUAUGUCUAGUUGCAGGAGUUCUAGCUGCCACCAGGCUCCUGACCUUGUGGUAUUGUUAGCACUGGCUUUCUUCACAGCUCAGAGUUUUUUCAUGCUGCUUAGCAUUUUUGAUCUAAAUUGGUGUGUGUGUAACUGUGCGCGUCUGGAAAGCUGCUAAAGAUGGGGUUGCUAGUUAAGUUUUCAUGGGUAGGUCCUUCAAAAACAAAAAGUCAGCCGAUGACUAUUAUGAAUAAAUGAGCGCUCAAACAA